AGAACAGAGCUGACGCCGAGCUGAAGAGAGCUUGUGGAGUCACUCCUCAUCCACAUCUCAAGGAUGAUGAGGGGUCUGGUGACCUGAAGGGAGCGUUUGGUUACGAUCCUCACGAGUUCAAGGGAGACACAUUACUGAAAUCUGAAGCCGGACG
Molecule: long non-coding RNA, 154 nt
Organism: Sinocyclocheilus grahami
Lineage: Eukaryota; Metazoa; Chordata; Actinopteri; Cypriniformes; Cyprinidae
Exons: 3
Source: RefSeq, a predicted model, not a curated record